RNAcentral lists this ribosomal RNA (499 nucleotides) under uncultured Sphingobacteriia bacterium. Its description in RNAcentral is "bacterial SSU rRNA". It matches the Rfam family "Bacterial small subunit ribosomal RNA", at positions 396 to 896 of the family's 1533-position model. The record is from RNAcentral. Lineage: Bacteria; Pseudomonadati; Bacteroidota; Sphingobacteriia.
GCCGCGUGCAGGAAGACGGCCCUCUGGGUUGUAAACUGCUUUUAUCUGGGAAGAAAAAGGCCAUGCGUGGCAAAUUGCCGGUACCAGAUGAAUAAGCACCGGCUAACUCCGUGCCAGCAGCCGCGGUAAUACGGAGGGUGCGAGCGUUGUCCGGAUUUAUUGGGUUUAAAGGGUGCGUAGGCGGCUUAAUAAGUCAGCGGUGAAAGACCACGGCUCAACCGUGGCAGUGCCGUUGAUACUGUUUAGCUUGAGUGUCGGGUGGGUACAUGGAAUUGAUGGUGUAGCGGUGAAAUGCAUAGAUACCAUCAGGAACACCGAUAGCGAAGGCAUUGUACUGGCCGACAACUGACGCUGAUGCACGAAAGUGUGGGGAUCGAACAGGAUUAGAUACCCUGGUAGUCCACACCGUAAACGAUGAUUACUCGCUGUUAUGGUAAAGACCGUAGUGGCCAAGCGAAAGCGUUAAGUAAUCCACCUGGGGAGUACGCCGGCAACGGUG